This is a long non-coding RNA of Gallus gallus (chicken), 1471 nucleotides long. Lineage: Eukaryota; Metazoa; Chordata; Aves; Galliformes; Phasianidae. The record is from Ensembl.
GGUAAACAAGGGCUGCAAUGGGGCAGCGCGCCGUCCUUUCAUCAGCCGGCGAACAGCAGGAGCUUUGAUUUCCUUCCCAGCCCCCUAAGCAGCCACUAAAUAAUCAACAAUUCCUCAACCUUCCUCUGAUUUACACGAGACGGAUGAGACAGGAAUAUCUCCAAGAGCUUUAUCACUCCUCUCUGUCAGCGGCUGCCGCUAAGUCAACAGUGCGAUGGUGUGUAUCUGGACGGCGGAGCACUGAGGUUGCUCGCAUCGUUCUGUGCUCCCGCUGAAACCAAUAAGCCAUCCUCCACUGCCCCCGCCUGCUCCCCAGCCAUGCCCCGUGGUUACGUCAAAUUAAAUCUCACCCCCAGACUCACCAGUGGACUUCCAGCACUGCAGCUCAUCCCCCGCCCCAAGGAUGGGAGGCGGUGGGGGCCGGCGUGAGGCGCACAGCUCAGCAUCAUCUACCCAAGGGGCACAGCACCCCACCCAGAGCAAGAACCGCUCUCUUGGCAUGGGCUGUUCUGGGACAGGCACUGCUCGGGCUCUGCAUCCUGCAGCACUGAAGCAUCCCACCGUCCACUCUGCUAUGCACAGCGCCUCCCCGGUUUUGCUUAAGAACCCCUUCUCCGCAAUGGUACCCAGAGAUGUGUGCAGCGAGGGCUGCUCCAUCAUCCCUGUGCGGUGCUGCACACCUGUUGCAUUCUGGCCAUGGCCACGUGUUGCACCUCCUGUUUCACUUAUCGCCUUACUACUGCUCCUUUUUCCCCCUCACCCACACCUGCAGAGCUCCACGAGUUGUGCUGGAGCCCAUUUGUAGCCUGAGCAUUGCGUGCUGCUGCAAUGCAGGGCCCUGAGUGUCCCCAAGUCGAGGGGCAGCCACUAGCCAUGUCCCAGCACCCCGGGGUGACAAUGGCCCCAGCAGUGCCCGUCCACGUUUCCCAGCCUGGGAGAAGAACCGCUGUGCCAAAGAACCUCCUGGGGAGGCCGGAGGGACCUGGCACAUCCCUGUGAAGCAGAACAGCAUGAACAAAGUGAGCGCUGUGAUCUGGGCUGGUAGAGGAGGGGACGGGAUGGGAGAAGACCUGGAAAGUAGCAGGAGAGCACCAGGGCAGGGAAGAGGUAAGACACUUAUUCCAGUCUUGACCGAGAAAUUCAGAGCCCAUUCCCUGACAGCAGAGAUAUGUAAACAGAUACAGACGACUCCUUCCUGGGAAGGAGCCCCCCAUUUCCAGGGGCUGCACAGUGGAGCCCAUCUGGAAGCAGCCCACGGCAGAGCUGUACGGUGCUGCCGUCCCGCCGGUGCUGGCAGUACUGCCCGUGCUGUGCCGUGGGCAGGCAGUGCCUGCAGCGCCGCGCUCUGCCAGGCUCAGUGCCCGCUCCUGGCACCAACGUCUGGCACCACUCCUUGCAAGUGGGCACAAAUUCAUCCCAAAACACAAACACAGGGGGAGGCAGCAGUCAUCACUUGUGUGGGCGCUGAGAG